This 507-nucleotide ribosomal RNA is filed under the name uncultured bacterium. RNAcentral describes it as "bacterial SSU rRNA". It matches the Rfam family "Bacterial small subunit ribosomal RNA", at positions 40 to 518 of the family's 1533-position model. The record is from RNAcentral.
CGGCGUGCCUAAUACAUGCAAGUCAACGGCUUUCUAUGGAAGCUUGCUUCCACUGAGAAGAUAGUGGCGAACGGGUGAGGUAACACGUGGGGUAACCCUGCCCAUAAGAGGGGGGAUAACAUCCGGAAACGGGUGCUAAUACCGCAUAGUUUCUUGAUCGCAUGAUUGAGAAAGGAAAGACGGCCUUUGUGCUGUCGCUUAUGGAUGGACCCGCGGCGUAUUAGUUAGUUGGUGAGGUAACGGCUCACCAAGACGAUGAUACGUAGCCGACCUGAGAGGGUCGAUCGGCCACAUUGGGACUGAGACACGGCCCAAACUCCUACGGGAGGCAGCAGUAGGGAAUCUUCCGCAAUGGACGAAAGUCUGACGGAGCAACGCCGCGUGAGUGAAGAAAGGUUUUCGGAUCGUAAAACUCUGUUGUCAGAGAAGAACAAGUUGGAGAGUAACUGCUCCAGCCUUGACGGUAUCUGACCAGAAAGCCACGGCUAACUACGUGCCAGCAGCCGC